Molecule: long non-coding RNA, 203 nt
Filed under: Amborella trichopoda
Lineage: Eukaryota; Viridiplantae; Streptophyta; Magnoliopsida; Amborellales; Amborellaceae
Description: long non-coding RNA (ATRI_LNC003220)
Source: RNAcentral
CCUAUCGGCGUCCCAGAUAGGUCCACUUAAUCCCUGCAGGUCCACUUAUACCUCACCGGCGUACCGAAUGAGUCCACUUAAUCCCUACCGACGUCCCAGAUAGGUCCACUUAUACCUCAUCGGCGAACCGGAUGAGUCCACUUGCAUACUUAAAUUAUUUCUAAAUCUCUUUAAACAUUCGAAAGCAGCAAUAUCAUGUACUC